AUUAUCUUAGCAGAUCAUUUCCUUUUGAUGUUAAUUGUUGUUGUUAAAUCAAAAACAGUUACUACACUUGCUGUAAUAAAACCAUUUUUAUACAUUUUUAUGAAGGUCUGUCCAUUUAGAACAAAAUGUGCAUGCAUGUUUAUGUAGAAAUAAUUGAACACACCCCCGGAUAAGGAUCUUAAAAGCUAUGCUUUAAAGCACAACAUUUCUGUUUAUUUUAAUACAAUAAAUAUUUAAUGUUAAACAAGUUCUAAUUUUCAGUCCGUCUGAACGCAGUGCUUCGCUAUGAGAAACACUUUCUUUACCAUCUUUAUUGUGUUUUAACAUGUUGUCUUUUGUCAUGUGUUAUUAGGCAUGUUCAACUUCAUGAAGCGCUGCGAGAACCCACAUCAUAUGUUGAUGACGUAAACGUAUCGCGAGACUGAGUCAAGAAAUUACACGUAGAGGUCUAAUUUCGAACCGCUCUCGCGGUACAUUGACGUCAUCAUCAUGUCAGCGCCGCAUGAGGUCGAACACACCUAUUAUUUGCGGGCACGCGCCUCCGUCCUCGUGAGUUCAAAAAUUGAAUUUAACCGAUGUUUACCUCAGACGACAGUUUUCGUUUCUGUGAUAAAUUCUGAGCUAAUUUUCUUGUUGUGUUUGAUCUUUUCCAUUGGCUGAAGAAUGCUGUGACAAAAAAGCAACCAGGACACCACAUCUGCAGUGACAGAGAGCAGGAUGGGGGAGGAAUCAGAGGGACCAGAAGAUAAUAUCAACUGGUGCCCCUGAGGAGAUUCACAUUGUUCUGUUUCUUUUGUUUAGUAAUAAGCGGUUUUAUGUGAUU
Non-coding RNA from Misgurnus anguillicaudatus (oriental weatherfish), 823 nucleotides. The record is from RefSeq and is a predicted model, not a curated record. Lineage: Eukaryota; Metazoa; Chordata; Actinopteri; Cypriniformes; Cobitidae.